GGGAUGUAGCUCAGUUGGCUAGAGCGCUACGCUGGCAGCGUAGAGGUCGUGGGUUCGAGCCCCAUCUUCUCCA
This 73-nucleotide transfer RNA is filed under the name Paludibacter sp. RNAcentral describes it as "tRNA-Ala". It matches the Rfam family "tRNA". Rfam says of the family: Transfer RNA (tRNA) molecules are approximately 80 nucleotides in length. Their secondary structure includes four short double-helical elements and three loops (D, anti-codon, and T loops). The record is from RNAcentral. Lineage: Bacteria; Pseudomonadati; Bacteroidota; Bacteroidia; Bacteroidales; Paludibacteraceae.